GCAAACUUCUCUGUAAAAAAAUGGCUUAUCUUCUUUGUACACUAAUAUAUAUACAUAUACAGAGAGUUAUGAUUUACAUUUUGAUGUAGAAAGUUGAAUGAACUUAUUCAUCCAAUAAGUCAUAUACUCGAACAAUACCAAGUGACCGACUGCCGGUGCACUGGUCAGCUGGGGCUAACCCCACGCUCAACCCUUUGUGCACCCCCCACAACAAACACACAGGAUGACCACAGUAGAUAAAUUAAGACAUGCCAAAGAAAUAUUAGCAACUUAAACAGAUGACAAUUUUUUGGAUUUAUGUUUAUUUAGUUUCAACAAUGGUGUUCGAAAAGCCAACCUUCAGCCUUUGCUCACAGCUAACGUUGCCCCUGAGAAGAGUAGGAUGUGUGCCUGGCCACGAUGAAGUAUUUAUGAGCUGUCAGGUUACCUGUUCUCAGAGUCCUUCUGACUUCGCCUUUGUUGCUGUCUUUGCUUCCAUUUGGUCCAGUUUCUGCACACGUCCAGAAACCAGAUUUUGAGUUCGGAAGUCUAACCCUGCAAGCAUACAAACAUACAGGACAUCUGACAAGUGCAUGCUGUAAAGUCGGGAUAUGGACCUAGGUUAAGGAUUCAUAGAAUUUGAGGCACUCGUUAUUUUGAUGUGCCCACAAAUUAGAGAAAUUUAGAAAACAUGAACCAGAUGGGGAUAGUUACAUACUUCGCUACAGAAAACCCAAGAAUACCAGCUGCGACGGUGCUGACCACCACGCAGAUCCAGAACAAAACAAAGUACUAUCUGC
Molecule: long non-coding RNA, 779 nt
Filed under: Physcomitrium patens
Lineage: Eukaryota; Viridiplantae; Streptophyta; Bryopsida; Funariales; Funariaceae
Description: long non-coding RNA (PPAT_LNC001690)
Source: RNAcentral